CUCCCCAUAGCUCAAUUGGAGAGAGCAGCUAACUUCUAAUUAGCAGGUUCGGGGUUCAAGUCCUCGUGGGGAGGCCA
RNAcentral lists this transfer RNA (77 nucleotides) under Sandaracinus sp. Its description in RNAcentral is "tRNA-Arg". It matches the Rfam family "tRNA". From Rfam's summary of the family: Transfer RNA (tRNA) molecules are approximately 80 nucleotides in length. Their secondary structure includes four short double-helical elements and three loops (D, anti-codon, and T loops). Further hydrogen bonds mediate the characteristic L-shaped molecular structure. tRNAs have two regions of fundamental functional importance: the anti-codon, which is responsible for specific mRNA codon recognition, and the 3' end, to which the tRNAs corresponding amino acid is attached (by aminoacyl-tRNA synthetases). tRNAs cope with the degeneracy of the genetic code in two manners: having more than one tRNA (with a specific anti-codon) for a particular amino acid; and 'wobble' base-pairing, i.e. permitting non-standard base-pairing at the 3rd anti-codon position. The record is from RNAcentral. Lineage: Bacteria; Pseudomonadati; Myxococcota; Polyangiales; Sandaracinaceae.